AAAAAGGGAAUGAGGUUCUCCCGUAGUGAAAGCUAAAACCGCUGAUUCAAGGCUGAUGACUUCUGCAAU
Molecule: non-coding RNA, 69 nt
Filed under: human gut metagenome
Description: Fluoride riboswitch
Rfam family: Fluoride riboswitch aptamer (crcB RNA motif)
Source: RNAcentral